Molecule: ribosomal RNA, 301 nt
Filed under: uncultured bacterium
Lineage: Bacteria
Description: partial 16S ribosomal RNA
Rfam family: Bacterial small subunit ribosomal RNA
Source: RNAcentral
CAGCAGCCGCGGUAAUACAGAGGGUGCGAGCGUUAAUCGGAUUUACUGGGCGUAAAGCGUGCGUAGGCGGCUUCUUAAGUCGGAUGUGAAAUCCCUGAGCUUAACUUAGGAAUUGCAUUCGAUACUGGGAAGCUAGAGUAUGGGAGAGGAUGGUAGAAUUCCAGGUGUAGCGGUGAAAUGCGUAGAGAUCUGGAGGAAUACCGAUGGCGAAGGCAGCCAUCUGGCCUAAUACUGACGCUGAGGUACGAAAGCAUGGAGCAAACAGGAUUAGAUACCCGAGUAGUCCCUGUCUCUUAUACAC